AGAAAUUGGAGGACAAGUACAUGACAAAGAGCAUAAAAAAUCGCCUCCAUUUGAAAAAGCAGUUUUACCAAUUCCAGUACAAAGAAGGAUGAUCUAUGAAAGAUGUUCUACAAGAUAGACGUUCAGAUUGUUGAAAUACAAUCUGGGAGUAGACCCCAUAAAAAUGUGUAUCAAAAGUUGAGUAAAAAAGUAGUCCCAUGGAUCCAGUCCUGUACAUAAUUGGCCCAAAUUGGGACCAUAAUUUCUUAUGACUAUGAGUAAGUUAUUACUUUA
Malus domestica (apple) is the source of this 273-nucleotide non-coding RNA. Lineage: Eukaryota; Viridiplantae; Streptophyta; Magnoliopsida; Rosales; Rosaceae. The record is from RefSeq and is a predicted model, not a curated record.